ACCAUGGCUUCGGCUAUGGGGAGAGCGGCGAACGGGUGAGUAACACGUGAGCGAUCUGCCCUCGACACUGGGAUAGCCCGGGGAAACCCGGAUUAAUACCGGAUAGCCUCUCGGGUCUACGGGCUCGUGAGAAAAGAUGGCUUCGGCUUUCGGUUGAGGAGGAGCUUGCGGCGGAUUAGCUUGUUGGUGAGGUAACGGCUCACCAAGGCGACGAUCCGUGGCUGGUCUGAGAGGACGAUCAGCCACACUGGGACUGAGACACGGCCCAGACUCCUACGGGAGGCAGCAGUGGGGAAUCUUGCGCAAUGGGCGAAAGCCUGACGCAGCGACGCCGCGUGAGGGAAGAAGGCCUUCGGG
Molecule: ribosomal RNA, 357 nt
Filed under: uncultured bacterium
Lineage: Bacteria
Description: bacterial SSU rRNA
Rfam family: Bacterial small subunit ribosomal RNA
Source: RNAcentral